GAUGAACGCUGGCGGCGUGCCUAAUACAUGCAAGUCGAGCGAACGGACGAGAAGCCUGCUUCUCUGAUGUUAGCGGCGGACGGGUGAGUAACACGUGGAUAACCUACCUAUAAGACUGGGAUAACUUCGGGAAACCGGAGCUAAUACCGGAUAAUAUUUUGAACCGCAUGGUUCAAAAGUGAAAGACGGUCUUGCUGUCACUUAUAGAUGGAUCCGCGCUGCAUUAGCUAGUUGAUAAGGUAACGGCUUACCAAGGCAACGAUGCAUAGCCGACCUGAGAGGGUGAUCGGCCACACUGGAACUGAGACACGGUCCAGACUCCUACGGGAGGCAGCAGUAGGGAAUCUUCCGCAAUGGGCGAAAGCCUGACGGAGCAACGCCGCGUGAGUGAUGAAGGUCUUCGGAUCGUAAAACUCUGUUAUUAGGGAAGAACAUAUGUGUAAGUAACUGUGCACAUCUUGACGGUACCUAAUCAGAAAGCCACGGCUAACUACGUG
This 497-nucleotide ribosomal RNA is filed under the name uncultured bacterium. RNAcentral describes it as "partial 16S ribosomal RNA". It matches the Rfam family "Bacterial small subunit ribosomal RNA", at positions 28 to 507 of the family's 1533-position model. The record is from RNAcentral.